GAUGAACGCUGGCGGCGUGCUUAACACAUGCAAGUCGAACGAUUAAACCGCCCUCGGGCGGACAUAGAGUGGCGAACGGGUGAGUAACACGUGACCAACCUGCCCCGCGCUCCGGGACAACCGCUGGAAACGGCGGCUAAUACCGGAUACUCCGGGAGGGCCCCAUGGCCCUGCCGGGAAAGCCGAGACGGCGCGGGAUGGGGUCGCGGCCCAUUAGGUAGACGGCGGGGUAACGGCCCACCGUGCCCGCGAUGGGUAGCCGGACUGAGAGGUCGACCGGCCACAUUGGGACUGAGAUACGGCCCAGACUCCUACGGGAGGCAGCAGUGGGGAAUUUUGCGCAAUGGGGGAAACCCUGACGCAGCAACGCCGCGUGCGGGACGAAGGCCCUCGGGUUGUAAACCGCUUUCAGCAGGGAAGAUCCAAGACGGUACCUGCAGAAGAAGCUCCGGCUAACUACGUGCCAGCAGCCGCGGUAAUACGUAGGGGGCGAGCGUUAUCCGGAUUCAUUGGGCGUAAAGCGCGCGUAGGCGGCCGCCUAAGCGGGACCUCUAACCCCGGGGCUCAACCCCGGGCCGGGUCCCGGACUGGGCGGCUCGAGUGCGGUAGAGGAGAGCGGAAUUCCCGGUGUAGCGGUGGAAUGCGCAGAUAUCGGGAAGAACACCGAUGGCGAAGGCAGCUCUCUGGGCCGUCACUGACGCCGAGGCGCGAAAGCUGGGGGAGCGAACAGGAUUAGAUACCCUGGUAGUCCCAGCCGUAAACGAUGGGCGCUAGGUGUGGGGGGACGAUCCCUCCGUGCCGCAGCCAACGCAUUAAGCGCCCCGCCUGGGGAGUACGGCCGCAAGGCUAAAACUCAAAGGAAUUGACGGGGGCCCGCACAAGCAGCGGAGCAUGUGGCUUAAUUCGAAGCAACGCGAAGAACCUUACCAGGGCUUGACAUGCCGAUGAAGCCGGGGAGACCCGGUGGCCGAGAGGAGUCGGCGCAGGUGGUGCAUGGCUGUCGUCAGCUCGUGUCGUGAGAUGUUGGGUUAAGUCCCGCAACGAGCGCAACCCCCGCCCCGUGUUGCCAGCAUUCGGUUGGGGACUCGCGGGGGACUGCCGGCGUCAAGCCGGAGGAAGGUGGGGACGACGUCAAGUCAUCAUGCCCCUUAUGCCCUGGGCUGCACACGUGCUACAAUGGCCGGUACAGAGGGUUGCCACCCCGCGAGGGGGAGCGGAUCCCGGAAAGCCGGUCCCAGUUCGGAUCGCAGGCUGCAACCCGCCUGCGUGAAGCCGGAGUUGCUAGUAAUCGCGGAUCAGCACGCCGCGGUGAAUACGUUCCCGGGCCU
This 1328-nucleotide ribosomal RNA is filed under the name uncultured bacterium. Its description in RNAcentral is "bacterial SSU rRNA". It matches the Rfam family "Bacterial small subunit ribosomal RNA", at positions 28 to 1381 of the family's 1533-position model. The record is from RNAcentral.